AUACCUAAAAGAGCACUUUUAUUGUUUACUCAUUUUGCGAAACCAUAAUGAGCACGGCAAAGUGGUACUAAAUGUCUAAUCUCUUUAUUAUAACUGUUUCCCUUUUAUUGUUUGCUGUUGUUCUAAAGAUUAGUUUAAAUUACAGUUGCCAUGGGAAUUGCUUGAUUAUGCCUCAGUUGCGUGCUUCGGAGAUUUUGUUCAGGAUUCUUUCUUGGGUCUUAUGCUAAAGGGCUAUGAAGUUCAUAAAGCCCUUGCUUAAAGGUAACAAGUCAUUUGUUCCUAAAUUCUGUUCUUAUAGCCACUGUUGGGUAAAUAUUUCUUGGAUAAUUUGUGGUAGAUUCUUAGAUAGGGACAUAAAAUUGGAUAACAUUGUUCCUAGUCUUUGGUUCCCUCUUUGUUUCUUGGAUCGGAAUGCAUGUUCUUGUACGAAUUGUUCUGUUUUCAUCUCCUGAUGACCACAAGCUGAUAACCACGGGGCUAUUUUCUUAGAAUUUUCGAGUUUCUACUGUCUACACGAAGUCCUUGCAUGUGCGAUAAAGAUCUUGAAAAAAUCUUGGCAUCUAAUCUUUCUCUGUUUCUGCUUGUGAUGUCAAAACACCCCACGUAUCUAGUUUGCUCUGGUUACUACUGAUGCCAAUGCCAUUUAUUGUAAUGGAUUCUGUCCUGAACUUCCGAAUUGUGAUAUCCAAUCUGCUACUGUUUUCUGAUGCGUCUGAUUGAAUCUGAUGGCUGACCUCUUGAUGCUUUGUGAUGGGUGGCAGGCAUUUGGCAGGCAGAAGGUGGAGCCUGAGGUCAAGGAGGAGACUCCGGGUGUGAUGCCAGAAGUACCGGCGGCAACUGAGUCUCAGUGAAGGCGUCCUGAGCUCGUGAUCGUCUUCCAUGAAUCUGAAGCUUCAUUCACUGAGAGUUGUGAGGUCUUAUCAGCAUAGAGUUAUCUUUUGGUUUUGUCCUUGUCUUUGCUUAGUUGGGACAUGGUUUGCCUGAGCGAUUUCAACUUGUAAGACACCAAGACCCGUUCCAGUUAUGGAUCUUAAUCUGGUUGGAACCGCCGUCAUUUGCGGUGCAUUUUGGUGAUAUUCGUUUUGCCAUCACCUAUGCUUCAUUCUGUCGAAUGGAAUGGAAGAUCAUUUGAUCAGGUAGUUCUCUGUGCAAUGCGACCUGGUCUUGUUCUGGUUCUCCUUGAUGCUACCAAUGCUACCUGCUUCCUAUUGAGUUUAGUUGCUUCAGUGUAUUCGUGCAGUAUUAUAGUUGGUGUUUACAUUCGAAUGUAUAUUUCUCAAAGAUUGGCCAGGCCAAUAAGAGUUUAUAAGGGCACAUCAAGCCGUGAGGAGAGGUGGGUCAGCCAAAAAUUGCCUGCCUCCUUGUCUG
This 1368-nucleotide long non-coding RNA is filed under the name Triticum aestivum (bread wheat). RNAcentral describes it as "long non-coding RNA (TAES_LNC009296)". Lineage: Eukaryota; Viridiplantae; Streptophyta; Magnoliopsida; Poales; Poaceae. The record is from RNAcentral.